This 130-nucleotide microRNA precursor is filed under the name Hordeum vulgare. RNAcentral's name for it is "microRNA MIR1122". It matches the Rfam family "MIR1120/MIR1122 microRNA precursor family". Lineage: Eukaryota; Viridiplantae; Streptophyta; Magnoliopsida; Poales; Poaceae. The record is from RNAcentral.
UACAUACUCCCUUCGUUCGAAAAUACUUGUUGUUAGGUAUGACUGGAUGUAUCCAGAUGCAUUUUAGUUUUAUAUAUAUUUAAUUUAAUUUGUUUCUAUGACAAGUAAUUUCGAACGAAAGGAGUACUAU